RNAcentral lists this long non-coding RNA (1528 nucleotides) under Neodiprion lecontei (redheaded pine sawfly). Its description in RNAcentral is "uncharacterized LOC124295200". The record is from RNAcentral. Lineage: Eukaryota; Metazoa; Arthropoda; Insecta; Hymenoptera; Diprionidae.
CUGUAAAUCACGUACAUAUUGUUCAAUCAACUGAGGAUCUCAAUUUUCGAAAAAACUCAUACCAAAAUUCGAGCAUAGUUUUUGUACAGGGUCUCUUUAGGAAAACAAUAAUACGUAUUUAAGCACUCGUGAGAUAUAUAUGAUUGCGGUAGUGAUAAUAUUUCAUGAUUAUCUCUUUAUAGAUUGAAUGUAAAUUCAAGACAUCCCGUUACACAGAAGAGUAAAACUCAUUAUUCAUGCUAAUUGAAGCAGUGAUACUUGUAUUGAUCACAGUUAAGGACAAAUCAAUACAAGGUGGUCAAUGAGUGCACCUAAGAAUAAUAUAUACGCCUACAUUUUUACCGUAUAAAUUUAUAAAUCAAACAAUAAGAUAUCUCGAAUAUGUUAACACAAAGGUAUUGACCAUGAUGCUGUUUAUUGGCUUUCCGUAGCAUAUAUAAACUGUGGCAACGGAUCGAAGAGAGUACAGUACGACUUGAUCUUCGAAGUAGUCUACACAAUUACAAUUUGAAACAUGAAGCUGUUGCUAACUCUCUUCGCUGCGCUAUUCUGCGGGGUAUUUGUCACAAGUGCCCCGUUGGAUAAUGAGGCCCGUGAUAAGAGGCAUCUUCUUAUCAGCCCUGGACCCGCUGUAGUUUCGGUACCACUCGUUGCUCCAGCACCUCUCAUUCACGGACCAGUUGUUGUAGGACCUCAUUGGGCACAUCCUCUUGCUUAUGGUCAUUCAAUUGUCAAGUAUUGGUAGAACGGGACGAAAAUUGAAACGUCGAAAAUUUGUAUAAAUAACAAAUUUCUACUACUUUUGCCAGUUUCAUUUCAAGUAUAAAUUUAAGGACACGAAUUUGAUUUUUGAUGUAAACUAUUUUUAACAGUUCUGAUUCUCAAACUCUCAUAUAGAGAGCUACUAUAUUCCGUCGAAUACUAAAAAUUAUCCAAUUAAUGGGCAUUAAAACCAUUGGCCAAAAAACUGGUUUGUGCCACAAAUUAAUUUCAUCCAUCUGGUAAGAUUUACGUAUAUUGUCUAUGAAAUAUAUAAAUACUAUUUAUUGUUUACAACUGCCUUGAUUACAUAAGGUAAACAAGUGAUAAAUAGAAUUAACAAACUGAAAAAUACAAUAACAAUUAUAUGGUAAAAGUGUGAUAAUUACUUAUCGAUCAGACAGAUUGAAGUAAUUUGAAAAUUGUAAAAAAUCAAAAUACGAAAUAAUCUACAUGAUAAUGAUAAUUAAAAGAAAUCGUUCAAGACAAGAUGGCGAUUAAUAAAAAUUUUCCUCCAGAAUGAUAAAUCUUUGCAAAUUUGUCAUUGGUUUAUUUAAAAUUGAUUAUAUGAAUAACUGCUGUUAUGUAAAUAUAUACAUAAAUAUAUAUAAUACUUCAUUUGAUUCUGGCAUGAGCUAACAACUAUCGAAUUAACUACAUAUGACUAGAAAACUUUGACACGGAGAACUUUUACAACCAAUAAUUCUGAAAAAGUUGUUUGAUGAAGAUUUAUCUGUAUCUAACUGAAAUAUAUAAACAUAAGCAUCAA